CCUAUCCUACGGGAGGCAGCAGUGAGGAAUACAGGACAAUGGAGGCAACUCCGAUCCAGCCAUGCCGCUUGAAGGAAGACGGCCCUAUGGGUUGUAAACUACUUUUAUACAGGAAGAAACGUUAGAUAGUGUACUAGCCUGACG
This 144-nucleotide ribosomal RNA is filed under the name uncultured Bacteroidota bacterium. RNAcentral's name for it is "uncultured Bacteroidetes bacterium partial 16S ribosomal RNA". It matches the Rfam family "Bacterial small subunit ribosomal RNA", at positions 333 to 474 of the family's 1533-position model. The record is from RNAcentral. Lineage: Bacteria; Pseudomonadati; Bacteroidota.